This 350-nucleotide unclassified non-coding RNA is filed under the name uncultured fungus. RNAcentral's name for it is "sequence contains ITS1". The stretch from base 1 to 105 matches the Rfam family "5.8S ribosomal RNA", at positions 50 to 154 of the family's 154-position model. The record is from RNAcentral. Lineage: Eukaryota; Fungi.
AAAGUGCGAUAAGCAAUGCGAAUUGCAGAAUUCCGCGAAUCAUCAGAUCCUUGAACGCAACUGGCGCCAAGAGGCUCUCCUCUUGGCAUGCCUGUUUCAGUGUCUGAAAACCUCAUAUUUAUCUUAAUGUGGAUGACACAGAGGGAAAGAAUUAAACCUUCAUUCUACUCUGCAAAAGUCUUCCAUUAAAGAUGUAUGUGUGGGUCUUUGAGCCCCUCAUCGAAUUGGUCACUGGUCUCUUCAGUGAUUUCGAUAGGGAAUGCUUCAAUUACUCGAUUACACAUAGUAUAUUUAAUUUACAUCAUCAAACUCUGCAUCUGAAAUCAGGCAAGAUCACCCGCUGAACUUAA